This 204-nucleotide unclassified non-coding RNA is filed under the name soil metagenome. RNAcentral's name for it is "partial contains 5.8S ribosomal RNA, internal transcribed spacer 2, and large subunit ribosomal RNA". The record is from RNAcentral.
AACGGUCUAUACCUGCGGUACCUGCGGAAGGAUCAUUAAUAAAGGUUGUCGAGUAAAACUCGACAUUCCAGAUCAUUUCUUUGUGCACUUUCGAUAAAUGCUUUGGUAGAUUUUUCGAAAUCUACCAAAAGUUUUAUUUAAAGCCUUUCUUGAUGUCUGAAAUAAAAAAUUUAAUUCAAAUACAACUUUCAACAACGGAUCUCU